UGAACGGAUCUGUGUUGCAAAUGCUUCUUUUAACAGGUACCUGUCUUACUUGUCGAAGUUUACCGGAGACUUUUGAUGGUGCUGGAGCAUGGUGACUCUAGCAUGACAGGGUCGGGGUUACCGCGACGUAGUUUUGUUCACUAACAGGGAUUCAAUGAGAUUGUCGUAGGUGAUACGAGGGAUGAGUUAUUAAUCAUUGUGUGCAUAUGCAUAGGUAUAGUGUUUGAGGACGAUUGAUGGUCUAUCUGUUCGGUGUAGCUCGGUUGUUGUAGGCUGUCAAGAUGGUAUUGGAGGGAUAAGAAAAGCAAAAGUCCUGAACGUUUCGUUCGUCGGUUGAUUGAGUCACUAACAUUUUACUUUGUCAUGAUGGCUUGAUUCCUCAUGGGUUUUCUUGUAAUGCUUUUACUUGGCUAUUCUAAUGGAACUUCAUUUUCAUUUCGUGAUCUCUCCAGCUGCUUUACUCAGUUGGAAUCUGAUAUCUCUGGUUGAUUUGUCGGCUUUUCUUAUCAUGCAGUUCGAUGGCUCAAAAGCAGAGCCAAAAAUAACCUGUCAUUGAGAAGCAAUAGUUGAUCGCCUUUCCCUAAAUCUGUCACAAUUGGCUCUUGAACUCCACUGGGGCCUCCCUUUAAUCACGGGUUCUGAGAGGACUGCCCAAAAUUAAGAGGAAGAGGAGCUCAGAGGCAAUCCCCAUCAUGGAAAUUGAGCCAGAAUGCGAGUACGAUGUGUUUUUGAGUUUUAGGGGACCGGACACACGCCUAACCUUUGUUGAUUGCCUCUACCGCAGCAUGAAAGGGGCAGGAAUCCAUGUUUUUAGGGACAAUGAAGAACUCCGAGUUGGUGAACAAAUCAGUGGAGCACUUUUGAAGGCACUUAAUAAGUCUCAAAUCUACGUACCCAUAUUCUCUUUGAACUUUGCCUCCAGUUCAUGGUGUCUUCGUGAAGUUGCCCACAUGGUUGAAUUAACCUCAAAAUCAAAUGGGAAGAAAGAGAUCCUCCCCAUUUUCUAUGACGUGGAGACUGAUGAUGUGAAACUCAAAACCAAAUUGUAUAGAAAAGCCAUACGCAAGCAUAAGAAGAAGUUUGGCUCCAAUGAAUUGAAGCGGUGGAAAAGUGCCCUUGUAGAGGUUCCAAGUACGAAGGGAUGGGAUCUUAAAGGCAAAGGGUAAAUCUCCUCAACUUUUUAUGUUUAAAAUUUAAAUUUCAAUGGAUGAACGUUUGUCCCUUGAAAUUUCUA
Long non-coding RNA from Eucalyptus grandis, 1234 nucleotides. RefSeq lists it as uncharacterized. The record is from RefSeq and is a predicted model, not a curated record. NCBI's taxonomy places the organism in Eukaryota, Viridiplantae, Streptophyta, Magnoliopsida, Myrtales, Myrtaceae. The transcript is spliced from 3 exons.